AACAAAAAUUCGUGCUAACAAAACUGGAAAGCGUACGUUAAAAACUUGGCUAUUAUUUGAAUAUCUUUUUAUUAACGCGCCGUAUGCGAGUGACAUCUGUGAGUGUAAUGAUAUUAGGCGUGAGUAAGUGUAAGAGUACAUUCCACAACGUAUUUCUGUGUCCUUAUAAAUAUUGUUAUCUUAUCCAUUUAAUUAUAUGGUUUAUUUCUUUAAUCGAUGUAUAUAAAGUUAUUAUUUCCUUCUUCAAUAUUCGUAACAGAUUAUUCGAUCAAUAUUUUUGUCAUAUAAAUAACAAAAUACACAUUAAUUUCGCGAGUUAAAUCGGCAAAAAGAAACGACACGUGCGGGAAUCAGUUACAAAAUGGUCAAAGAUGAUAUCUCGCGAAGAACGGGAUCAAUUUAACAGGAAUGAUUUUCUAUUUUGGAAAUCUCAACAGAAAGCUAUUUCUGAAUAUGGAAUUGAAGACCUGAUGGUAAGAUUUGAUUCAAAGGUAAACUGACGAUUCGGAAAAUCAAACGACAAGGCUAUGGAUAAAAAAUAACGUGCGUAUCGUGUCUCUUAUUUUGUCUUCAAUCGACUAACGCACACUGGAAUAUUUGAUUAGGAACUUAAAUGUAUGUGAAUUACAAAAAUUUCAUAAAUAAAGAAAUAAUUAUUUUAUUUAUGAAAUGAAAAUAAACUCAAAUAAUUUGACGCUAAUGAAGAAGUUUCAUUCUGUUAUGUUUCACCUGUCAAGGGUCAAAGAAAGGUCACAUCAAACGAGAGAGAUCUGAGCAAGAAAGUUAUCGAACUUGUUAUGAUUUUGAAGACAAUUUGCCAACGAUAUAACACAAAUAACAGGUGAUAGCAUUACAGUAAGUGAUCAAAUGAUCAAAAAAUUCCGGGAUAAAUUCAUAAAAGAAUCAGAGGGUGUAAGAAAUGAAAGGGAGAAGUACCUUGUCAGCGACAGCGACAAUGAAAUGACAAAAGAAAACAAAAACUGAAAAUGGAAGGCAAAGAAGAAAGUUAUGAUACGAACAGUUUACUCGCUUAAUCAAAUGGAAUACGAUGAUCCUGAGAAAAUGACACCGCAUGAUGCCUGGGCAAAGGAGAAAUCCAGAAUAUGACAUAUAAAGCUUCAAUCUCAGCCAUCAAUCAGUCUCAACAAUCCGAUCGAUGAGAAAUUUCAUGAUGGAUGCACCAAUGUAUGCAGACAAGUUGAUAAAUUUGAUGAAUUAUAUGAACGAGAAAUACCUCGAUGAAUUAUUCGAGAUUAUACCGCAAUACGUUUAUCUUGGAGUGUCGUUUGCACGUUUAUAUCAACUUUACAAAUAUAUUGAUUAAAAAUUUAUUAAGACAAAAAAUAAUUUUUAAUUAAAAAUACAUUUUAGAAUACUUGCGAUAAUAUGACCGAAUAUAAAAUCAGAUAAUGAAAAUAUCGUAAA
Vespa velutina is the source of this 1425-nucleotide long non-coding RNA. RefSeq lists it as uncharacterized. The transcript is spliced from 3 exons. The record is from RefSeq and is a predicted model, not a curated record. Lineage: Eukaryota; Metazoa; Arthropoda; Insecta; Hymenoptera; Vespidae.